UACGUAGGGUGCGAGCGUUGUCCGGAAUUAUUGGGCGUAAAGAGCUCGUAGGCGGCCUGUCGCGUCGGAUGUGAAAGCCCCGGGGGCUUAACCCCGGGUCUGCAUUCGAUACGGGCAGGCUAGAGUGUGGUAGGGGGAGAUCGGAAUUCCUGGUGUAGCGGUGAAAUGCGCAGAUAUCAGGAGGAACACCGGUGGCGAAGGCGGAUCUCUGGGCCAUUACUGACGCUGGAGGAGCGAAAGCGUGGGGGAGCGAACAGG
This 258-nucleotide ribosomal RNA is filed under the name uncultured bacterium. RNAcentral's name for it is "partial 16S ribosomal RNA". It matches the Rfam family "Bacterial small subunit ribosomal RNA", at positions 524 to 776 of the family's 1533-position model. The record is from RNAcentral.